AUUGAACGCUGGCGGCAGGCCUAACACAUGCAAGUCGAACGAGUGGCGGACGGGUGAGUAAUGUAUGGGAAACUGCCUGGUGGCGGGGGAUAACUACUGGAAACGGUAGCUAAUACCGCAUACCAUCAGAUCUGCCCAGAUGGGAUUAGCUUGUUGGUGGGGUAAAGGCUCACCAAGGCAACGAUCCGUAGCUGGUCUGAGAGGAUGACCAGCCACACUGGAACUGAGACACGGCCCAGACUCCUACGGGAGGCAGCAGUGGGGAAUAUUGGACAAUGGGCGAAAGCCUGAUGCAGCCAUGCCGCGUGUAUGAAGAAGGCCUUCGGGUUGUAAAGUACUUUCAGCGGGGAGGCGUUACCAGCAGAAGAAGCACCGGCUAACUACGUGCCAGCAGCCGCGGUAAUAC
This 406-nucleotide ribosomal RNA is filed under the name uncultured bacterium. Its description in RNAcentral is "partial 16S ribosomal RNA". It matches the Rfam family "Bacterial small subunit ribosomal RNA", at positions 30 to 526 of the family's 1533-position model. The record is from RNAcentral.